ACGCGACAACUUUCAGCCGCAGAUUACCAGUGAAAACAACAGAGGGAAAGCUACAGAUCUGGCAACACUAACUGCUACAUUCGCAAAGCUAAACCGGUAACCUACAUCCGCAGAUCAGCAGUGAAAAUAUGUGAGGGAAAGGUGGUAAUACGUGUUGUUUGGAUCUGACAAAAUGACUGGGAUUAAAUGGCAAUUCUCAAAGCUAAACCCGACAACCUUCAGCCACAGAAUAACAGUGGAAAUAUCUGAGGGGAAGGCAUGAAGUUGAAGAUGUUCGGCAUCCCUGGGCAGUAGCACAGAAGGUUACCGAUACACAGCUGGAAGAUUAUGGCAGCCACAAGGACCUUGUUUCUACAUGAAAGGAGGGACAUUUAUUAUAUAAACUCUGUCAACAGUGUUUGUAAAGGUCUAGAUAAAAGUAAUCCAUGUUUAGGAUUUACAUUUUAAAAUGAAUUUAAAUGUGUUGUGUGAUGGCAGAAUAAGAUGUAGUAAGGACCAGUACUAGGUUGUUGGCAUGUGAGAAUAACUAACCUCAAAAUGCCCUGCCUAAAGACAGACAAACGGCGAGUUUUCCUGAUUAAGACGUCAGCAAUCUGGCAGAUCUCAAUACUGACAAAGAACACAGUGUAACAGGUGUACUCCUGAUACCGCCGCUGCUCAUACGUCUACCAAAUAAAAGAAGUGACACAAUGCCUUUACAUUAGCUGUCCUGUAGGUCCUGUAUUCUAACAUUUUCCCACUGAGCACGGAGGCCCACACAAAG
This is a long non-coding RNA of Trichomycterus rosablanca, 763 nucleotides long. RefSeq lists it as uncharacterized. The transcript is spliced from 4 exons. NCBI's taxonomy places the organism in Eukaryota, Metazoa, Chordata, Actinopteri, Siluriformes, Trichomycteridae. The record is from RefSeq and is a predicted model, not a curated record.